CGUAGGCGGCUAGGUCAGUCAGAUGUGAAAGCCCCGGGCUUAACCUGGGAAUUGCAUUUGAUACUGCCUGGCUAGAGUAUGGUAGAGGGUAGUGGAAUUCCAGGUGUAGCGGUGAAAUGCGUAGAUAUCUGGAGGAACAUCAGUGGCGAAGGCGGCUACCUGGACCAAUACUGACGCUGAGGUGCGAAAGCGUGGGGAGCAAACA
RNAcentral lists this ribosomal RNA (205 nucleotides) under uncultured bacterium. Its description in RNAcentral is "partial 16S ribosomal RNA". It matches the Rfam family "Bacterial small subunit ribosomal RNA", at positions 570 to 774 of the family's 1533-position model. The record is from RNAcentral.